UCUUGAAUUCAUUGAUCGCAUCAUGAUUGUAAUUUUUAUGAAACUCAGUUGUGGUCUUAUAUUCAACUAGUCUUUAAUUCUACUGUAGUGAUCAACAAAAUGGAUAGUCAUAUCUGUUCCUAGACGCUAGUGCAGCAUUUGCUAGCACUUCUCCAGUUCCCAGUUAUAUUCCACGAGUAAAUACACACUAGAUGACCUCUGGAACUUUGUAGGAAUGAGUCACCAAUAGAAAACUACAGUGGAAUAGAUAUUCCAACUUAUUAAAAUGACAAAUUGUUUCUUGGUUCUAAAUGUAAUACAUGGAUUCAGGAGAGACGUCAAAACAUACCAAAUUAACUGCUUAAUGCAACACUAUCCACUUUGGAACUGUAUGACUCACAGAGAGAAAAGGAAGGAAAACAUCAAGUGUUUUGAGUGAGUUAUGGUCUAAACACUAACUGCUGCCCAAAUGGUCAAUUUUCAGGCCUUAAUUGCACUAAUCCGGAUUGAUCAUUUUUCAAGUUACCUUAGAAGCAGAAUUUUCGUAAGCUUCUUUCAUGAAAGUUGGCACAUUUUGUGCCUAGUUUCACCUCCAAUUGGUUUCAUACCAAUUGGAGCCAUACACUUAAGGUUCUAAGCUAAAACACACACUGCCCUAUUGCUCAUUGUCCAUCACUCAUCAAAUGAUACAUUUAACACUUACCAAAUGACACAUUCAUGCCAAUUCUGGUUUGUACCAUAACCUAAACACAUUUCACAACAUAUUAUUGGUCAUUUUGGCAGCUUACAAUCACACUCAAUAUGCACCAUUUAGUACAGAAUUUUUCAAGCUCAAAUUACAACAAUUCAAUCACCUAACCUAGCUCAUUUACAUGUCCAACCUCACACCAUCAUACAUAUACCCAAGCUGCCAUAAUAACUACCACAAUUCAACAUUAAUAUUCCAUAAACUAAACAUGAAAUAACAUUUUUAUGGUUCACCAGAUCAAGCUGCCGAUUCAUACAUCAGAUUCCAUUAAUUUCCAAGCUUCCAAAUUCAAGUACACAUUUACAUAAACUUAAUAUACAUCAUCCAAAUAAAUUCCUACACACAUAAACACUUAAUCAACCCUUUAAUCUACCAUUUACAAGCAAGAAUAAACUGUCCUCAAGGAGUUUCCAUGGCUGCCAAAAAUAAACAUCUCCCUUAGAACAUCAAACUCCAAAAUUCUUUCCACAAUUCAAGUACCCAUAACCUCCUCACAAACUUUAAUGAAGCAAUAACCAAAAACACAAACUUACCACUUUGGAAACUCUUCAAAACCUUGACUAAAUUUGAUCUUCUUGCUGCCUAUUUACUGCCCAAGUGGUGUAGAACAGUUUUUGUGAAGGAAGCUAGUAAAAAAUAUGGCUAAAUCAUGGUUGCAUGGAGCUUGGCCAUGGAUGGCCAUGGAGGUUCUUCAAUGGAGGCUCACGGCUGGUUUUUGCAAUGUUGAAGAAGAUGAGCAAUCUGCCCAAAAUAUGCUGAUUAUAUGGCCACUUAAUUGAGUUAGUGGACCACUAACUUAGAUUAAACAUUUAAUAUUCUAAAGUUUUCAUAUUCCCACAUUUAACUCCAAAUUUUUGCUAUUUAAACUAUGUACCACCAAUUUAAUUUUUCAUGACAUUUUUCAAGUGUAACAUCAUUUAUUUUUAAUGGACAUUUAGGUUAAAAGACAACUCGGGGUGUCAAAUGACCACAAUGCCCCUGUUCGGGUUGCAUUCUCGAUUUUUCGGAUUCCCCGCGGUCCAGGGCUAGUCAACGGUCCACGCUGCGGCUUCCCGGUGCAGUCACCCAUCGUUAGGGUUCUUGGCUCGCUUAACUUGCUGAAAAAGACCCAUAAGGUAUACGGGACUGAGUCAAGGCCUAGAGGCGACUCACGUCAGAUAGGGAAAAAGACAUAGCAGCAGAGCAAGCUGCUAUAGUUAGAGAGGAGCACAAUUUAAGAAUUUUUGUACGGCUGAAAAAAACCCAGAAGGUCUGAGAGACCGAGUCAAAGCCUAAAGGUGACUCACGUCAGAUAAGAGUAAGGAAAAAAUAACAGAGUGAGCUGUUGAACUGGAAAAGCCUUCGCUGAUCUUUUGUACGGGUAUUAUUUAUACCCUUAUAGUUAAUUGAUGUAAAUAUUGUAAUGUUUUAUAUAUCAAUGUAAAGUUGAGCAGUUAUAUAAUAAAUUGUAAUAAUGAUAUUUUGGAUUUCCUUUUUGUAAAUUAAGAUUUGUAUUUGUAAAUUUCGUACUAUAUACAAUGUGAAUGAAAUUGUAAAAUAUUUUGAGAUGACAAA
Hevea brasiliensis (rubber tree) is the source of this 2281-nucleotide long non-coding RNA. RefSeq lists it as uncharacterized. The transcript is spliced from 6 exons. NCBI's taxonomy places the organism in Eukaryota, Viridiplantae, Streptophyta, Magnoliopsida, Malpighiales, Euphorbiaceae. The record is from RefSeq and is a predicted model, not a curated record.